AUAUAAAAAAAAUAGAAUGAACAAAAGUUGUUGAAACGUUGGCCUUACAUAAGUCAUGUCCUUUUGACCUGUAAAAAAUCAUUCGUUUAGACAUGAGCCCGUUACAACCUGAAAAGAAUGGUAGAUAAGAUUCAAACACUUUCCAUUAAAAGAGAAACAAAAAUCCUAUCUAUUUAUUAUACUAAAUGAAUUCUCUUAGGCCACAAGGACUAUUCUUAGCCAAUCAGUUUGAUGAUGUGGACAUGCUCUAAAGGCUGAAAAUUUCUUUUGAGCGGGAUUUUGAUUUCUCCCCUUUUUCAUUCACGCGGUCGUCCCUCUUCAAUCAAUCUAAUCUUCAAAAUCCGAAUUUCCUUUUUCAUUCUCCUAUUUGAUUGAAGCUUCUUCUAAUCAAGAACCCUAAAUCUCUCCGUAUUCUAAAUGGGCGAUUCCAAAGAGGAAAUAUUGAGGGUUCUGUUUUGUUUCAAAGACUGAAGACGGUAAACUGGACAGUGUUCAUCUAGAGCAAACUAUCCUUUCGAUUUCACUAUACUACUGUUUGGUUAAGAUGCUGGUUGAUAAAAUGUUGUAUUGGACAUAAGUUUGAGUGUUUAUUGAAGACGUCAAUCCAUUUUCAGUAAUCUCUAGAUGCGAAUCCUUUUGCUGCCGGACCUCAACCAUUUUCGAUCCCCUAAAUCAUUGCUCAAUCAAUCGUCUUCAUUUACAAAUUAAUUAUAGGAAUUCCAUGGACCGAACUCAUUAUCCCACUGCCAAAUGUAUAUUUCAUCUACAGCAAACUAUCCUUUCGAUUUCACUAUACCACUGUUAGGUUAAGAUGCUGACAAUGUAUGAUUUCUGAAUUGCCAACUACGGGCCAGUUCUCCGACAAAGAGUUAAGAUCCAACCAUUUGAGUUUUGUCUUAUUUUCAUACCUUUUGCUUCUGUUGGUAUAUUCGGCUGACCCUUUUAGGGGUUUCUGAAGUCGAUGAUAACGGUGACCUGUGGUGGCGGCGACUGAGGUCACAAGUGCCAUACCAGUGAGACAACAAAUCUCUCUAAUUACUCGCCUAGAACUACAAAUCUACUGAAGAAAAGAUUGAGAAUGUCACAUUUCAAGUGAAGGAAGUUCAAUAUUCAAGUAGAAGGACGUCGUAGACGCCAUUCGAGAUCUUGAUGUGUACAGAAACCAAUGUCCUCUGGUAGAGAAACCGAUCAAGACAAGCUUGAAGUCACAAAGAGGAAGCUUCAAGAACUUUUUCAACAGACGGAAAGAGCUAGAUAGCGAGAAGGUCGAUGAUCGUAGUCGGUUUUGUGCUGGUAGUGGGAAUGAUAUAUGUUGGGUCUGGGCUUGCUGCCAAGCUUGCCCGAGUUAAGGGAUAUUGACUUAACAACCCUCAGCGACCAUCAAAACUUGAAAGAUUCAUGGGCAACUGAGGUUUGUGAUUUGUUGCAGACUGAAGAAAAGAUUGAGAAUGCAACAUUUCAAGUGAAGGAAGUUCAAUAUUCAAGCACAAGGAAGCCUUAGACGCCAUUCGAGAUCUUGAUGUAUACAGAAACCAAUGUCCUCUGGUGGAGAAACCGAUCAAGACAAGCUUAAAGUCACAAAAAGGAAGCUUCAAGAACUUUUUCAACAUACAGAAAGAGCUAGAUGGUGAGAAGGUCGAUGAUCAUAGCCGGUGUUGUGCUGGUAGUGGGAAUGAUAUCUGUCGGGUCUGGGCUUGCUGCCAAGCUUGCCCGAGUUAAGUUCUUUCAUAUGGUAGUGCUCGUGAUAUGGGCAAUGAAGCUUCACUCGAGUUUUUAGAGCCCUAUAGUCGAAAUCACUCAAGCACACAAGAGCAAUUCAGCAAUCAAAUUGUUACCAUGAACACGUGCACGAAACAACUUGUGAAGUAAGUUUUUCUUUAAAUCAAUGUAGAGUGGAUGAAUUUACAUGUCUUUUUUACAUUAGUAACCUUAAUAUAUAUGAAAAAAUUCCGCCUCAUAUGACCUUGAGAUGCAAGGCGACCGAGGAUGCGGGAAUACCACACGAGGGGUGGUGAUGUGUAGUGUUUUUCAGAAGGUGGUGUUAAGACUGUGAUUUAGGCUUGAGGCGCCCACAUUGCGUGAGUUGUUAUGAAAUAGAGAUAAAAGAAAAGGGCUAGGAGAUGAGGGAACAGGUUAGGACUCACAUGAAACAUGAUGAAUAAGACUAAUGAUUGAGAAUGUUCAACAAUGACAUUGAAUAUACUGAUUCUGACUUAUUUUGAAUGGUGAAAGGAUUAAAUUUUUGUUGCAACCUUUGAUUGUGCUCUAACAGCUGAUUUUGAAAGCUAUGGUGAGGUGGAUAUUCAGGUUCAGCUAAACCUAUAAAAAAAUUUAGCUUAUAUGCUUCCUUCAUUUGGCAAAGUAAGUUACGUUUUAAUGUAACUUUUUUUUUAAUUAUUUUGGUUUGACUUUUCUAUGGUUUAGCUUUUUGGAAUCUCAAUAAGGUUGGUUAGGUCUGACAAAAAAAGAAGAAAACUGGCUAUAGUCAUUUGCCACUGGAUUAAGGAGGAGCCGGUUGACCAUCUCUUCGUGUCUUGCCACUUCCACUCAAAGUGUUUGGGAUCGGGUUGCAAGCUGGUGCCAUUUAACUGGGGUGUAUAUGUUUGAAAGCAAAGAUUUGGUCGGAUAUCAUUGCCAUGCGAGUGGGUCGACAAAAUAAAAAAAAUGGUGUACACUAUAAUGCAGACUGGAAUGUGGAGUAUAUGGCGUUUUUGAAACAACUUAGCAUUCAACCAGAAGAAUCCGAAUCUGGGGAGUGUUGUAGAGGAGCUAAAAAGGUUGGGGUACCUUGGGAUAAAAAAAAACAAUCAAAGGCGCAGGCUUUGACCUGGGAAAAAUGGAGAAUGUUUGAUUUAAAUUGUUGUGACUUUGGUUAUUUGUUCACAAUGUUUGUAUCUGGGGUGAGGGAUAAUAUGUUGUCCCAAAUUUUAUUUAAUUAAAUUUGAAGUCAUUUGCGUGGCUUUUCUCAUGAGGGGAGUUCUAUACUAUCGCCCACUAAUUUUGAUGGUUUUAUGACCCUGUAUUACUUGAGAUAUGCAUAUAACAUAUUACUUUUAUGUAUCUCAUUAACUUUUUUGGUUGAA
Helianthus annuus (common sunflower) is the source of this 3083-nucleotide long non-coding RNA. RefSeq lists it as uncharacterized. The transcript has 12 exons. NCBI's taxonomy places the organism in Eukaryota, Viridiplantae, Streptophyta, Magnoliopsida, Asterales, Asteraceae. The record is from RefSeq and is a predicted model, not a curated record.